This 446-nucleotide ribosomal RNA is filed under the name uncultured bacterium. RNAcentral describes it as "partial 16S ribosomal RNA". It matches the Rfam family "Bacterial small subunit ribosomal RNA", at positions 338 to 795 of the family's 1533-position model. The record is from RNAcentral.
CCUACGGGUGGCAGCAGUCGAGAAUCAUUCACAAUGGGGGAAACCCUGAUGGUGCGACGCCGCGUGGGGGAAUGAAGGUCUUCGGAUUGUAAACCCCUGUCAUGUGGGAGCAAAUUAAAAAGAUAGUACCACAAGAGGAAGAGACGGCUAACUCUGUGCCUGCAGCCGCGGUAAUACAGAGGUCUCAAGCGUUGUUCGGAAUCACUGGGCGUAAGGCGUGCGUAGGCUGUUUCGUAAGUCGUGUGUGAAAGGCGCGGGCUCAACCCGCGGACGGCACAUGAUACUGCGAGACUAGAGUAAUGGAGGGGGAACCGGAAUUCUCGGUGUAGCAGUGAAAUGCGUAGAUAGCGAGAGGAACACUCGUGGCGAAGGCGGGUUCCUGGACAUUAACUGACGCUGAGGCACGAAGGCCAGGGGAGCGAAAGGGAUUAGAUACCCCAGUAGUC